GAUGAACGCUGGCGGCGUGCCUAAUACAUGCAAGUCGAGCGAACAGAUGAGGAGCUUGCUCCUCUGACGUUAGCGGCGGACGGGUGAGUAACACGUGGAUAACCUACCUAUAAGACUGGUAUAACUUCGGGAAACCGGAGCUAAUACCGGAUAAUAUAUUGAACCGCAUGGUUCAAUAGUGAAAGACGGUUUUGCUGUCACUUAUAGAUGGUUCCGCGCCGCAUUAGCUAGUUGGUAAGGUAACGGCUUACCAAGGCAACUAUGCGUAGCCGACCUGUGAGGGUGAUCGGCCACACUGGAACUGAGACACGGUCCAGACUCCUACGGGAGGCAGCAGUAGGGAAUCUUCCGCAAUGGGCGAAAGCUUGACGGAGCAACGCCGCGUGAGUGAUGAAGGUCUUCGGAUCGUAAAACUCUGUUAUUAGGGAAGAACAAAUGUCUAAGUAACUAUGCACGUCUUGACGGUACCUAAUCAGAAAGCCACGGCUAACUACGUG
Molecule: ribosomal RNA, 497 nt
Filed under: uncultured bacterium
Lineage: Bacteria
Description: partial 16S ribosomal RNA
Rfam family: Bacterial small subunit ribosomal RNA
Source: RNAcentral